GCGGGAGUAGCUCAGUUGGUAGAGCGUCAGCCUUCCAAGCUGAACGUCGCCGGUUCGAAUCCGGUCUCCCGCU
Molecule: transfer RNA, 73 nt
Organism: Sandaracinus amylolyticus
Lineage: Bacteria; Pseudomonadati; Myxococcota; Polyangiales; Sandaracinaceae
Rfam family: tRNA
About the family: Transfer RNA (tRNA) molecules are approximately 80 nucleotides in length.
Source: Rfam